This 29-nucleotide ribosomal RNA is filed under the name Brassica rapa subsp. oleifera. RNAcentral's name for it is "partial small subunit ribosomal RNA". The record is from RNAcentral. Lineage: Eukaryota; Viridiplantae; Streptophyta; Magnoliopsida; Brassicales; Brassicaceae.
GGAUUCUGGGGGGUCAGCCAGUGAUCAUU